Molecule: ribosomal RNA, 422 nt
Filed under: uncultured bacterium
Lineage: Bacteria
Description: bacterial SSU rRNA
Rfam family: Bacterial small subunit ribosomal RNA
Source: RNAcentral
UGAGGAAUAUUGGACAAUGGAUGGAAAUCUGAUCCAGCCAUGCCGCGUGCAGGAAGACGGCCCUAUGGGUUGUAAACUGCUUUUGUAUGGGAGCAAUAAGGACUACGUGUAGUUUGAUGAGAGUAGCAUACGAAUAAGCAUCGGCUAACUCCGUGCCAGCAGCCGCGGUAAUACGGAGGAUGCGAGCGUUAUCCGGAUUUAUUGGGUUUAAAGGGUGCGUAGGCGGCGAUAUAAGUCAGUGGUGAAAUAUUUCGGCUUAACCGAGAGACUGCCACUGAUACUGUGUUGCUAGAAUAUGGUUGCUGUGAGUGGAAUGUGUGGUGUCGCGGUGAAAUGCUUAGAUAUCACGAGGAACUCCGAUUGCGCAGGCAGCUUACUAAGCCACAACUGACGCUCAUGCACGAAGGCGUGGGGAUCAAACA